Molecule: ribosomal RNA, 863 nt
Filed under: uncultured Fibrobacterota bacterium
Lineage: Bacteria; Pseudomonadati; Fibrobacterota
Description: bacterial SSU rRNA
Rfam family: Bacterial small subunit ribosomal RNA
Source: RNAcentral
CAAGUCGAGCGCCCCGCAAGGGGAGCGGCGGACGGGUGAGUAACACGUAAAGAAUCUGCCCUGAAGCGGGGAAUAACUAUCCCAACGGAUAGCUAAUACCGCAUAAUGAUGGAGGUGGCAUCACCUCUUCUCAAAAGGCUUCGGCCACUUCAGGAUGACUUUGCGUCCCAUUAGCUUGUUGGCGGUGUAACGGACCACCAAGGCGACGAUGGGUAUCCGGCCUGAGAGGGUGUACGGACACAUUGGGACUGAGAUACGGCCCAGACUCCUACGGGAGGCAGCAGUAGGGAAUUUUGCGCAAUGGGGGAAACCCUGACGCAGCAACGCCAUGUGUGGGAUGAAGCAUUUCGGUGUGUAAACCACUGUCAGCAGGGAAUAAAAGGCCUUAUAGGCAUUUGAAUGUACCUGCGAAGGAAGCCCCGGCUAACUUCGUGCCAGCAGCCGCGGUAAUACGAGGGGGGCAAAUGUUGUUCGGAAUCACUGGGCGUAAAGGGAGCGUAGGCGGGUUCUUAAGUAAGGUGUUUAAUCCCGGGGCCCAACCCCGGACCGGCACUUUAAACUGGGAAUCUUGAAUAGUGGAGAGGUCAGUGGAAUUGGGGGUGUAGCGGUGGAAUGCGUAGAGAUCCCCAAGAACACCAGUUGCGAAGGCGGCUGACUGGACACAUAUUGACGCUGAGGCUCGAAAGCAUGGGGAGCAAACAGGAUUAGAUACCCUGGUAGUCCAUGCCAUAAACGAUGAAUACUAGGUUUUGGGCCCGUCAACGGUCCAGAGCCGCAGCUAACGCGUUAAGUAUUCCGCCUGGGGAGUACGGUCGCAAGACUGAAACUCAAAGGAAUUGACGGGGGCCCGCACAAGCGGUGGA